UACGGAGGAUGCGAGCGUUAUCCGGAUUUAUUGGGUUUAAAGGGUGCGUAGGCUGGUAAUUAAGUCAGUGGUGAAAUACUCCGGCUCAACCGGGGGGCUGCCGUUGAUACUGGUUACCUUGAGUUUAGAUGAUGUGGGCGGAAUGUGUCAUGUAGCGGUGAAAUGCAUAGAGAUGACACAGAACACCGAUAGCGAAGGCAGCUCACAAAGCUAUUACUGACGCUGAUGCACGAAAGCGUGGGGAUCAAACA
Molecule: ribosomal RNA, 251 nt
Filed under: uncultured prokaryote
Description: partial 16S ribosomal RNA
Rfam family: Bacterial small subunit ribosomal RNA
Source: RNAcentral